This 373-nucleotide ribosomal RNA is filed under the name uncultured eukaryote. RNAcentral describes it as "partial 18S ribosomal RNA". It matches the Rfam family "Eukaryotic small subunit ribosomal RNA", at positions 592 to 976 of the family's 1831-position model. The record is from RNAcentral.
CAAUAGCGUAUAUUAAAGUUGUUGCAGUUAAAAAGCUCGUAGUUGAAUUUUUGCUUGCCGCCGAUGUCGGAACUUCCGUACGUUCGGCGGCGUGCAUCCUUGGGUGGAACCUGUGUGGCAUUAGGUUGUCGUGCAGGGGAUGCUCAUCGUUUACUGUGAAAAAAUUAGAGUGUUCAAAGCAGGCUUACGCCGUUGAAUAUAUUAGCAUGGAAUAAUAAGAUAGGACCUUGGUACUAUUUUGUUGGUUUGCGCACCGAGGUAAUGAUUAACAGGGACAGUUGGGGGUCUUCGUAUUCCAUUGUCAGAGGUGAAAUUCUUGGAUUUCUGGAAGACGAACUACUGCGAAAGCAUUUACCAAGGAUGUUUUCAUUAA